GAGGGUAUAGCUCAAUGGUAGAGCACAUGCUUAGCAUGCAUGAAGUCCUGGGUUCAAUCCCCAGUAUCUCCA
RNAcentral lists this transfer RNA (72 nucleotides) under Camelus bactrianus (Bactrian camel). It matches the Rfam family "tRNA". From Rfam's summary of the family: Transfer RNA (tRNA) molecules are approximately 80 nucleotides in length. Their secondary structure includes four short double-helical elements and three loops (D, anti-codon, and T loops). Further hydrogen bonds mediate the characteristic L-shaped molecular structure. tRNAs have two regions of fundamental functional importance: the anti-codon, which is responsible for specific mRNA codon recognition, and the 3' end, to which the tRNAs corresponding amino acid is attached (by aminoacyl-tRNA synthetases). tRNAs cope with the degeneracy of the genetic code in two manners: having more than one tRNA (with a specific anti-codon) for a particular amino acid; and 'wobble' base-pairing, i.e. permitting non-standard base-pairing at the 3rd anti-codon position. Lineage: Eukaryota; Metazoa; Chordata; Mammalia; Artiodactyla; Camelidae. The record is from Rfam by way of RNAcentral. RNAcentral also lists the same sequence under 2 other names.